UACGGGAGGCAGCAGUAGGGAAUCUUCCGCAAUGGACGAAAGUCUGACGGAGCAACGCCGCGUGAGUGAUGAAGGGUUUCGGCUCGUAAAGCUCUGUUGUUAGGGAAGAACAAGUAUCGUUCGAAUAGGGCGGUACCUUGACGGUACCUAACCAGAAAGCCACGGCUAACUACGUGCCAGCAGCCGCGGUAAUACGUAGGUGGCAAGCGUUGUCCGGAAUUAUUGGGCGUAAAGCGCGCGCAGGCGGUCUUUUAAGUCUGAUGUGAAAGCCCCCGGCUCAACCGGGGAGGGUCAUUGGAAACUGGGAGACUUGAGUACAGAAGAGGAGAGUGGAAUUCCACGUGUAGCGGUGAAAUGCGUAGAUAUGUGGAGGAACACCAGUGGCGAAGGCGACUCUCUGGUCUGUAACUGACGCUGAGGCGCGAAAGCGUGGGGAGCAAACAGGAUUAGAUACCCUGGUAGUCCACGCCGUAAACGAUGAGUGCUAGGUGUUAGGGGUUUCGAUGCCCUUAGUGCCGAAG
RNAcentral lists this ribosomal RNA (521 nucleotides) under Halalkalibacter wakoensis. Its description in RNAcentral is "bacterial SSU rRNA". It matches the Rfam family "Bacterial small subunit ribosomal RNA", at positions 340 to 851 of the family's 1533-position model. Lineage: Bacteria; Bacillati; Bacillota; Bacilli; Caryophanales; Bacillaceae. The record is from RNAcentral.